AGAGUUUGAUCCUGGCUCAGGAUGAACGCUAGCGACAGGCUUAACACAUGCAAGUCGAGGGGCAGCGGGGGCGAAGCUUGCUUCGCCUGCCGGCGACCGGCGCACGGGUGAGUAACACGUAUGCGACCUGCCCCCCGCAGGGGGAUAACCGGGAGAAAUCCCGACUAAUACCGCGUAACGCCGCUGGGCUGCAUGGCCCCGCGGCCAAAGGAAGCGAUUCCGGCGGGGGAUGGGCAUGCGGCGCAUUAGCUAGUCGGCGGGGUAACGGCCCACCGAGGCGACGAUGCGUAGGGGUUCUGAGAGGAAGGUCCCCCACACUGGUACUGAGACACGGACCAGACUCCUACGGGAGGCAGCAGUGAGGAAUAUUGGUCAAUGGGCGGGAGCCUGAACCAGCCAAGUCGCGUGAGGGAAGACGGUCCUACGGAUUGUAAACCUCUUUUGCCGGGGAGCAACGGGGUCCUUGCGAGGGCUCGAUGAGAGUACCCGGAGAAAAAGCAUCGGCUAACUCCGUGCCAGCAGCCGCGGUAAUACGGAGGAUGCGAGCGUUAUCCGGAUUUAUUGGGUUUAAAGGGUGCGUAGGCGGGCUGUUAAGUCAGCGGUCAAAUGUCGGGGCUCAACCCCGGCCUGCCGUUGAAACUGGCGGCCUCGAGUGGGCGAGAAGUAUGCGGAAUGCGUGGUGUAGCGGUGAAAUGCAUAGAUAUCACGCAGAACUCCGAUUGCGAAGGCAGCAUACCGGCGCCCGACUGACGCUGAGGCACGAAAGCGUGGGUAUCGAACAGGAUUAGAUACCCUGGUAGUCCACGCAGUAAACGAUGAAUGCUAGCUGUCCGGUUCUACGGGACUGGGUGGCACAGCGAAAGCGUUAAGCAUUCCACCUGGGGAGUACGCCGGCAACGGUGAAACUCAAAGGAAUUGACGGGGGCCCGCACAAGCGGAGGAACAUGUGGUUUAAUUCGAUGAUACGCGAGGAACCUUACCCGGGCUCAAACGCCAAAGGACAGCCGUUGAAAGGCGGCCUCCCUCCGGGGUCUUUGGCGAGGUGCUGCAUGGUUGUCGUCAGCUCGUGCCGUGAGGUGUCGGCUUAAGUGCCAUAACGAGCGCAACCCCCAUCGACAGUUGCUAACGGGUAGAGCCGAGGACUCUGUCGAGACUGCCGGCGCAAGCUGCGAGGAAGGCGGGGAUGACGUCAAAUCAGCACGGCCCUUACGUCCGGGGCGACACACGUGUUACAAUGGCCGGUACAGCGGGAUGCCAGGGCGCGAGCCCGAGCGGAACCCGAAAACCGGUCUCAGUUCGGAUUGGAGUCUGCAACCCGACUCCAUGAAGCUGGAUUCGCUAGUAAUCGCGCAUCAGCCACGGCGCGGUGAAUACGUUCCCGGGCCUUGCACACACCGCCCGUCA
Molecule: ribosomal RNA, 1404 nt
Filed under: uncultured bacterium
Lineage: Bacteria
Description: 16S ribosomal RNA
Rfam family: Bacterial small subunit ribosomal RNA
Source: RNAcentral